GAGGCCCAAGCCCAUCACUAAAUAUUAAUCAGCCUUAUUAGCGUAAAUUAGAGUUAAGGCAGAUUAGCUCAUCAGAUCAACAUGUAGCUCUAUCACUUUUUAGUCAGCUGCUUCACCAACCGACUUAUAUCAGUAUAAACAUGGUGAACUAUCGUAAUUUCAUUUUUCCCCAUUCUGCAACCCUACACAAGCAAAUACCCAUCCAAACACAAAUCAUUCACAAUUCUUCACAGCGGUUUGCUUCCAUCAUUCACAAUUCACAGCAGUUUGCUCAUCAAAGAAGGUUAAGCUGUGAUGCAGAUGGAUGUCAGCAGAGCAAAGCUUUUGAUAUAUAAGUACUAAAUUAGGCUCAGGAUUCCAUGUCUUCAUACAUGUAAUCCACUUAAGCUAUUCCGCUGCAACGCUUGUGCGUUUUACUUUAUUGAUGUGUUGCAAAGAUUUCAAACUAAUAGCUUACAGAAUUAUGUCACUUGAUACUUAGACAACUUGUCGUUAUGUUAUUGUGAGUUGUCUGCUUUUGAGUUUAGAAAAGAUUGCUUAUGAUUACCAAAUAUUUUGGUAAAUUA
This is a long non-coding RNA of Salvia miltiorrhiza (redroot sage), 566 nucleotides long. RefSeq lists it as uncharacterized. The record is from RefSeq and is a predicted model, not a curated record. The transcript has 2 exons. NCBI's taxonomy places the organism in Eukaryota, Viridiplantae, Streptophyta, Magnoliopsida, Lamiales, Lamiaceae.